AAGCCAGUGCUUUCCUAUUGCAACGAGACCAUGACCAAACGCAGUCUCAUUGAGGGCCUCACUUACACCAAAUGCAUCAUCAUGCAACAGUCGGCGGUGGACCUGGAACAUGUCGCAUAUUAGUUAUUCCUAUACAGGAGAGGGUCACAGCCCAUCAGAUACAGCAUAAGGGAGGAUAGCAACCAGUCAAGAGUCCAUAGGAAAGAUAACAAACAGCCAAUAAGAGGGAGUUUAAGAAUUGUAAAAGUAUAAUUUAGACCACAUCUCACAAGUUUUUUAACAUAACACUGCAGCAGUUUAACUCACCGUGUUACCAAGAAUGACAUCCCUCCCAGGAUGAAUCUUAUACUUGCUGGUAUGAUGG
This is a long non-coding RNA of Zootermopsis nevadensis, 364 nucleotides long. RefSeq lists it as uncharacterized. Lineage: Eukaryota; Metazoa; Arthropoda; Insecta; Blattodea; Termopsidae. The record is from RefSeq and is a predicted model, not a curated record.